Molecule: long non-coding RNA, 453 nt
Organism: Astatotilapia calliptera (eastern happy)
Lineage: Eukaryota; Metazoa; Chordata; Actinopteri; Cichliformes; Cichlidae
Source: Ensembl
ACGCAUCAAUUUGUACAGUCUUCAGUUGGCACCCCUGUAUUUUUCCUACAACGAAUAGCAAGAGAUUUCCUCUGCAUUAUUGUUAUGAUCGGAGCCCGUUGCAAUAUGAGCCAGCACGAGUCUCUGUUGACAGACGACCGGGCUCUGAGGUGUACGUGUCAGCGUGCAACAUAAAACGACAAAACAGGGAGAGAAAGGAAAAGAGAGAGUGAGAGGAGUGGGAGCACGCAUCGCUGGAUAUUAUAGGUUUUGGUAGCUCUCCUCGUGUAGUACAGCCCAGUCAGUAAGCAGCUGGAACCAGUUCAGUCUCUGCAAUGGCUUGUGUUGUAAAAUGGACGUUGUAAAGAAGAAAUAAUGAAAACAAGGACACACAAAGAAUCGGUUGACUUCCCUUCAGCCUGAUUUAACUCUGUGUUUGCUACAAUCACUUCUUUAUUUCUCCGUGCAUACUGC